GUUUCAAUUUUUAAAAGGCACAAAGGCCAAUUAUAAACAUUCUGAUACAUAUUCAUAGUGUAGGUAAAAGAGACAUAAACCUGAGAUACAAGAAAAGCUGUACAGCAAUUCUCAAACCAAGAGUCAUUUGACUAACUUGAGAGUGUUUCAGGUUUACACAAAGUGCACAGGUGGUUAAAAAUGGAAUAGGCGUGCACAUGCUUCUAAAAGCCAGCAACAACCCAAACCAAGUUUGUUUCAAUAAUGAUCCUUCCGCAGGUUCACCUACGGAAA
Molecule: unclassified non-coding RNA, 273 nt
Filed under: uncultured fungus
Lineage: Eukaryota; Fungi
Description: sequence contains ITS1
Source: RNAcentral